AGCCAGACUCCUACGGGAGGCAGCAGUGGGGAAUAUUGCACAAUGGGGGGAACCCUGAUGCAGCGACGCCGCGUGGGUGAAGGAGCACCUCGGUGCGUAAAGCCCUAUCGGCAGGGAAGAAACAGACGGUACCUGACUAAGAAGCCCCGGCUAACUACGUGCCAGCAGCCGCGGUAAUACGUAGGGGGCAAGCGUUAUCCGGAUUCACUGGGUGUAAAGGGAGCGUAGACGGCGACGCAAGUCUGGAGUGAAAGCCCGGGGCCCAACCCCGGGACUGCUCUGGAAACUGCGUCGCUGGAGUACGGGAGGGGCAGGCGGAAUUCCUGGUGUAGCGGUGAAAUGCGUAGAUAUCAGGAGGAACACCGGCGGCGAAGGCGGCCCCCUGGACGAAGACUGACGCUCAGGUGCGAAAGCGUGGGGAGCAAACAGGAUUAGAUACCCUAGUA
RNAcentral lists this ribosomal RNA (446 nucleotides) under uncultured bacterium. Its description in RNAcentral is "bacterial SSU rRNA". It matches the Rfam family "Bacterial small subunit ribosomal RNA", at positions 329 to 792 of the family's 1533-position model. The record is from RNAcentral.